Molecule: long non-coding RNA, 1398 nt
Organism: Thalassophryne amazonica
Lineage: Eukaryota; Metazoa; Chordata; Actinopteri; Batrachoidiformes; Batrachoididae
Exons: 4
Source: RefSeq, a predicted model, not a curated record
UUGUGCGGCUUUGAAUACACGCCAAGUCAUAGUUUGGAGAACUUUGAUGGGUCAGGUAUAACUUCUCAGCAGUGCCACUCGGACAGCUCUGGCACAGCUGACACAGGUGCACAGGGCACGCAUAGCCUUGGACACAAGAGGGCACCACUUACUGGCCUCAAACCGCAAUCAGACAAAGUUGGAACUCUGCCCAGACCAAGAAACACCAACACAGACUCAGCCCACACACGAGCCAUGAAGUCCCCGCACAGCGCGGGCGCUGCCUGCAUGCACAGCUCAUGGGCAGCUGCAGCCUCAGACCCAUCUCAGGAGUGCAUGGUAACGGUGUCGACACUAGAACAGCAACAUAUGGUGUCCUGGAGUGGCACAACAGCAUCCAGCAGGGCCACCCUGAGUCGGGGUUCCCACCAGAGACCUGGCACAGAUCCAUCUCGCAACGGGCAUCCACCAACAAGCAGCACAGAAAAAAGGGAACACUAGUCUUUGUGAAGCAACUUUGCCGCAGUUGCCGCCUUGUUCAUAAACGCUAUGAGAUUUUCUCUCUGCGAGCGACAGAGAAUGAUGGCAGAGAAAGAAAGUGCAAGAUAAAAUGUGGAGCUGUAAAUGUCAUGUACAGACACAGACACCAGUCUCACAGUGUUAUUUUCAUCCCCCUCUUCAAAAGAGUCGACACUAUGUUCUAUGUCUGCUUCUGUUUUCUGUCACACCAUGUACAACAAUUCACACAGCGGAGAUGAAGCGUAAUCACAAGAAAAAUGGCUAAAAUCAAAGGACUUGCAUCAUUUGUAAAUAUAUUUUUUAAUGUCAUUUGUUUUUCUUUUAAAUUAUUAUUAUUAUUAUUAUUAUUUUAUUUUGCUAUGCAAGCCGAACCUGAUGUUGUCUCUUUUGUAAUUUAUUAAUGUGAGCCAUUCUCAAUAAUGCUCAAAACCUUAGUUUAUUUUGAUGAAGCUUCUGUAUUGUUGUAUUUUUGCACAGAGAGGUCUGGUGGAAAUAAGCACAAACUCAUUGUCGGCCGAGCUGAGGAAGGUGAAGACAGACGUCUCAGUUCAACAGAACCUAAACAGAUGAUAAUAUAUACUGUUGCAAUUGUUUUGAGAAAUACCAAUAUAUAUCGUAUGGAGCGUUUCAAGGCAAAAAAAAAAGAAAAAAAAGAAAAAAGGGAGUAAUAUGCCAAAAUAAUGUUUGCUGAGAACCUUAUUAUGCAUUGUACUUAUAAUAACACUUGGCAUAUCUUUAUGGUAACAAAAGCAAAAUAUCAGAUAUCCAAAGUUACUUCUCUGCCAUGUCCAAAAGGGUCUGUUAGCAAAAUUCUAUGUAUAUUCUUUCAGAUAGAGCUACUCAAAUUACACAAAUGAGUGAUGUGAUGACAGUGCAAUACUCAAAGGACAGCAUGGGAAC